GAGUUUGAUCCUGGCUCAGAACGAGCUCUAGAUAUAUGCUUAACACAUGCAAGUUGAAUGUGGUUUGCUUCCCCAUCCAUCCACAUGGGGGCAGAAGGGCAAGAGGAAUGCCCCCCUACUAGCACGUGCUCACUCACUCAAAUGAUAUGUAAGUGGUGCGCCGGGCAUGGGGCACAACAAGCAUAGUGGCGAACGGGUGCGUAACACGUGGGAAUCUGUCGAACAAUUCACUCCAAAUGCUGAAUAAUUCAUAAAGCAAGCUAAUUCACGUUAUUCAAUGAGCCCGCGUAGUAUCGGGUAGUUGGUUAGGUAAAGGAUGACCAAGCAAAUGAUGCUUAGCUGGUCUUUUCGGAUGAGCAACCACACUGGCACUGAGACAUGGUCCAGACUCCCUCGCGGGGCAACAGUGGGGAAUACUGGACAAUGGGCUCACGCCUGAUCCAACAAUAUUGCGUGGGUGAAGAAGGGCAUUGUCGCUUGUCAAGCUCUUUUGGUCGAGUUUCGAUCAUAACAUGAAUCGAGGAAGAAGCCUUGGAUAACUCCGUGCCAACAACCGCGGUAAGACGGGGUGGGGGGGGCAAGUGUUAUUUAGAAUGACUGGGUGUAAAGGGCACGUAGGCGGUGAAAAGGGUGGAAAGUGAAAGUUGCCAAAGCAAGGGAGGGGUGCUUUCUUGACCAUUUCACUUGAGUGAGAUAGGGGAGAGUGGAAUUUCGUGUGGAGGGAUCAAAUCAAGAGUAACCUAUGAUCACAGUUGUCCAUCCCCUGAUCAUUAGUCUAACCUACAUGUUGGUCAUC
Non-coding RNA from Picea glauca (white spruce), 796 nucleotides. The record is from Rfam. NCBI's taxonomy places the organism in Eukaryota, Viridiplantae, Streptophyta, Pinopsida, Pinales, Pinaceae.